This 323-nucleotide ribosomal RNA is filed under the name uncultured Glissomonadida. RNAcentral describes it as "SSU rRNA". The stretch from base 105 to 323 matches the Rfam family "Eukaryotic small subunit ribosomal RNA", at positions 736 to 955 of the family's 1831-position model. The record is from RNAcentral. Lineage: Eukaryota; Cercozoa; Glissomonadida.
GAUUUCUGGUACGAUGUGUCUGGCCCGCCGGGGUUACCCGCGUGAGUGCCGGCGCACAUCUGCCAUCCUUCUAGAAAACGGCCUUACCCUUCAUUGGGCCGAGGUCGCGAUCUAGAUCUUUUACUUUGAAAAAAUUAGAGUGUUUAAAGCAGGCUUACGCUAUGAAUACAUUAGCAUGGAAUAAUAAUUUAGGACUUCGGUCUCUAUUUUGUUGGUUUCUAGAGCUGAAGUAAUGAUUGAUAGGGAUAGUUGGGGGUGCUAGUAUUCAACGGCCAGAGGUGAAAUUCUUGGAUUCGUUGAAGACUAACUUAUGCGAAAGCAUU